CGGACGGGUGAGUAAUGUCUGGGAAACUGCCCGAUGGAGGGGGAUAACCACUGGAAACGGUAGCUAAUACCGCAUAACGUCGCAAGGCCAAAGAGGGGGACCUUCGGGCCUCUUGCCAUCGGAUGUGCCCAGAUGGGAUUAGCUAGUGGGUGGGGUAACGGCUCACCUAGGCGACGAUCCCUAGCUGGUCUGAGAGGAUGACCAGCCACACUGGGACUGAGACACGGUCCAG
Molecule: ribosomal RNA, 232 nt
Filed under: uncultured bacterium
Lineage: Bacteria
Description: partial 16S ribosomal RNA
Rfam family: Bacterial small subunit ribosomal RNA
Source: RNAcentral